UUUAUUUCAUGGUUUUGCCAACGUCUGCAUACAAGCCAAUAGGAAAUUUGUACUUAUUGAAAUCUAAAUUUUGUGGUUCACAUUUACCUAAAAAAUCCACAGUUUUUUUUUUUUUUUUUUUUUUUUUUUUUUUUAAUAUUAAACGUAUUUUAUUAACAAUCACCUGUUACCUCAACCCUUAGUUGCCCAGGGGAGCAACUAAGGGGGCCCCAAUUUUUACAGAAAAUCCAUAAAAAUUGAUACCCCAGGAAUAACAAUGAAUCAACAGUUCAUUCAGAAGUCCAUUUUUAGCUCACCUGGCCCAAAGGGCCAAGUGAGCUUUUCUCAGCACUUGGCGUCCGGCGUCCGGCGUCCGGCGUCUGUCGUCCGUCGUCCGUCGUCGUCUGGCGUCGUUAACUUUUACAAAAAUCUUCUCCUCUGAAACUACUGGGCCAAAUUUAACCAAACUUGGCCACAAUCAUCAUUGGGGUAUCUAGUUUAAAAAAUGUGUCCGUGACCGCGUCAACCAACCAAGAUGGCCGCCAUGGCUAAAAAUAGAACAUAGGGGUAAAAUGCAGUUUUUGGCUUAUAACUCAAAAACCAAAGCAUUUAGAGCAAAUCUGACAUGGGGUAAAAUUGUUCAUCAGGUCAAGAUCUAUCUGCCCUGAAAUUUUCAGAUGAAUCGGACAACCCGUUGUUGGGUUGCUGCCCCUGAAUUGGUAAUUUUAAGGAAAUUUUACUGUUUUUGGUUAUUAUCUUGAAUAUUAUUAUAGAUAGAGAUAAACUGUAAACAGCAAUAAUGUUCAGCAAAGUAAGAUUUACAAAUAAGUCAACCUGACCCAAAUGGUCAGUUGACCCCUUUAGGAGUUAUUGCCCUUUAUAGUCAAUUUUUAACCAUUUUUCGUAAAUCUUAGUAAUCUUUUACAAAAAUCUUCUCCUCUGAAACUACUGGGCCAAAUUUAACCAAACUUGGCCAUAAUCAUCAUUGGGGUGUCUAGUUUAAAAAAUGUGUCCGGUGACCCGGCCAACCAACCAAGAUGGCCGCCAUGGCUAAAAAUAGAACAUGGGGUAAAAUGCAGUUUUUGGCUUAUAACUCAAAAACCAAAGCAUUUAGAGCAAAUCUGACAUGUGGUAAAAUUGUUCAUCAGGUCAAGAUCUAUCUGCCCUGAAAUUUUCAGAUGAAUCGGACAUUCCGUUGUUGGGUUGCUGCCCCUGAAAUGGUGAUUUUAAGGAAAUUUUGUUGUUUUUGGUUAUUAUCUUGAAUUAUAUUAUAGAUAGAGAUAAACUGUAAACAGCAAUAAUGUUCAGCAAAGUAAGAUCUACAAAUAAGUCAACAUGACCAAAAUGGUCAGUUGACCACUUUAGGAGUAAUUGUCCUUUAUAGUAAAUUUUUAAUCAUUUUUCGUAAAUCUUAGUAAUCUUUUAGAAAAAUCUUCUCCUCUGAAACUACUGGGCCAAAUUUAACCAAACUUGGCCAUAAUCAUCAUUGGGGUAUCUAGUUAAAAAAGUGUGUUCGGUAACUCGGCCAAUAAACCAAGAUGGCCGCCAUGGCUAAAAAUAGAACAUGGGGGUAAAAUGCAGUUUUUGGCUUAUAACUCAAAAACCAAAUCAUUAAGAGCAAAUCUGACAGGAAGUAAAAUUGUUGAUCAGGUCACAAUCUAUCUGCCCUGGAAUUUUCAGAUGAAUCGGAUAAUCGGUUGUUAGGUUGCUGCCCCUGAAUUGGUAAUUUUGAGGAAAUUUUGCUGUUUUUUUUGUUAUUAUCUUGAAUAUUAUUAUAGAUAGAGAUAAACUGUAAACAGCAAUAAUGUACAGCAAAGUAAGAACUAAAAAUAAGUCAGCAUGACCAAAAUAGUCAAUUGACCCCCUAAGGAGUUAUUGCCCUUCAUAGUCAAUUUUUAACAAUUUUCUUAAAAUUUGAUGAUUUUUCAAUACAUUUUCCACAGAAAGUACUGUUAUAGAUAGAGGUAAUUGUAAGCAGCAAGAAUGUUUAGUAAAGUAAGAUCUACAAACACAUCACCAUUACUAAAACACAAUUUUGUCACGAAUCCAUCUGUGUCCAUUGUUUAAUAUUCACAUAGACCAAGGUGAGCGACACAGGCUCUUUAGAGCCUCUAGUUUUGAUAUAUUUUCUCAUGAUACAAUAUUUUAUUUUUGUAGCAAAACACGGACCCCAAAUAUAGGUACAAUCUAAAAUCUGCUUUAACUGGGGAUUUUGGUUAUUUUUAAAACUUUAAGCAUAACUUUUACAACUCUCUUAGUUAUUGACUUCUGAUAUAAUAUGUAUAUAAGAGUUCACAAAGUCAAACCAGUUAAUACAUGUAAAUUGUCAUGACUUAAUUUGCUGUCUUCAAACUGUCAGAUAUAGAGUUGUCAAAACUGCAUUGGGUGAAUGAAACUGUAUGAAUUGACUUAUUACAUACACUGUAAACCAAUUCAUUUAUUUAAACUAUAUCUCAUUUGUAUUUGUCAGGCCCGUGGUAGAUGACUUUAUUAAGCUGUAUUAUUUUUCUAUUUUCUAUUUGUUGUUGUAUAUCCCUAUAGGAAAUCCAAGUUUGACAUAUUUUGAACAUUUUAAUUUUUCAUGAGAGAGUCAUGUAAAUAAAGUCUCUCAUAAAAAUAAGAUGGUUCAUAGAAAUUGUACAUAAUAAUUAAAUGGAAAAGAUGAUGUUACAGCUAAUAGUUUGUGCAUAUUCAAGUUAUAUUCCUGUUUCAAAAAGUCCUAUAGAAAUCUCGAAUUUGAUCUGAAAUUGAAGUUUAAUUUGAAUUAUUAUCUUUCCUGACAAUUUGUUUCUGCAAUAAAAAGCAAGGGUAAGAAAAUUGCAUACAAAACUAAUACAGUGAAAUCUGUGUAUAAAUGUCAAUGGUAAAACCAUAGAAAUCUGACCUAAUGCUAGAGGUGACCCUUGAAAUAUAUAUAUUAAUUUCUGUGUCAUGUGGUCUCUGUUGAAGAGUUGUCUCAUUUGCAAUCAUACCACAUCUUCUUUUUUAUACAUAAGUAUAACUUAAGGUGGUACCUAAAAUUAGUUUGGCUCGUUUAAUUUUCAUAAAAUUUUGACAAACAUUUACUUUGAUCCUUUGACAAAAAUAUAAAAAUUUCAAAAUCUUUGAACCAUACACUUUCUCGGAAAAUUUGCAUUGGAUAUAUAGCAGUUUGACAAUCAUGAAUUUUGAUUAUUGAGAAGCUUAAAUUUCCUUAACAAUACAAUGUGAUUAAAACGUUUACCUGAUUUUACAGAGUUAUCUCCCUGUAGUGUUAGGUACCACCUUAGUGGGGCACUAAGAAUUUAACCUGAGAAGACAGGUUUUAACUUAUUAGAGGUUACCAUUAUAUAUAAAAAGAAGAUGUGGUAUGAUUGCCAAUGGGACCACUGUCCACAAGAGACCAAAUGACAUAGAAAUUUACAACUAUAUGUCAAUGUAUGGCCUUCAACAAUGAGCAAAGCCCAUACUGCAUACACAUUUUCUCUGCUUUCAAACUGAUUUUGGUAAGGAUUAUGCUGAAAGUAAUGAAUAAGGAGACUUUACAAUCAAAAACAUAAUGAAAACGAUAUACUAUAUGAAAAAAGUAACAUAACAACAAAAAGACCUUGUCUAUGUGUUGGAACAAUAGGCUUCUAUCAUAGAGAUGAUUUUAUUUCUUAUUUUACUCUAGAACAACUUUUUUAGAGUUUGAUGUUUUUAAGUAUGAACAGUGGCGGAUCCAGAACUUUUCCUAAGGGGGGCUCCGCUUCAGUCAUGCUUCAAUGAUUCCCUAUAUAAUCAACCAAAUUUUUCCCACGAAAGGGGGGGGCUCGGCCCCCCUGGAUCCGCCUAUGAUGAACAAAGGGCAUUAUAUUUGUGUACAGAAAUGAAUAGAUUCAACACUGUUUAUGUACAACAUUUUGUUUUAUUUAUAUGAUUAAUCAAUUUCAUGUUAGAAAAAAAUGAUUAAAUAAAUUGAUUAGGUUUAAUUUAGGAUUGGAGUGAUUUUCAACAGAUGAUUUCUUUUCCAUUUAUAAAUGGCAACCUCAUGUUUUAUAAUUAGAUUUACUUCAAACCUCUCACAACAAGUUUACUUGUGAAAUACAAUCUUUUGGUGCUUAAAAACAUUGAAUUCUUUUUGAAAGAAAAGUUCUAGAACUCAAAUGUAUAAACAACUUUAUUGUAUAAAGUUUUUGCAUAACUAUAUAUAUAAAUAUAUAUUAUACAUGUAUAUGUAUGAAAUCCAUAGUAUUGAUUAUUUUUACUUUUAUAUUCAGAUUUGUUUAAUGUUAUUGCUAUUUAUCAUCUUUGAGGUGAUUGGUCAAAUUGUAUAUGAACAUAGUAUAAAGUUGUCACAUGUUUAGACGUGUAUAAUAAAAUUUUAAAAUUUGAUAUGGGGACAUGGAAAUCACAUUAUCAUCUUUAACGACAGACAAAAUAACUGAUCUGAAAUGUACACCAUCUAUUUGCCACUACCCUGGUAUACACCCUGUACUGUUUUACAACCCUCAUUAAAGCCACGAGUAAAGGCACUACAUCAACCACGAAAGCUAUAUUUUUAUGUAUCCUAACUGGUCUAGUAGUCCAGGGCACUGGGCACUGUGCAUGCAGUGUUGCCACAAUGUCAAAGAAGCAAGGGUUUGAAUCCAGCAGAGGGAAGAAAAAAGUUGGCUAACACGAACAAUGGGCAUAAUUCUCCCGACUCAAAUUUUCUCCUAUUGAAAUUGAAGUUUUUUAUUUUAAUUGUUUAAAAUAAAAGAAAUAUUCUGAAAAUAUUUUAUACUAAAAAAAGAAUUUCAGUUUAUGUUCCAAACAGAAUAAAGGUAUAGAAUAUUUGAACAGAAUUAUAGCAUUGUUUUUGGCAAAGUUUUCUUAAAAAAACCUGUUAUGUCAGAAGUCACAGCAAUCUCUGAAUAUGCUGAUCAGUUCUUAGCUUUAUAAAAUGUGGAAAACAUGCAAUCAUGGAUUUGAAUAAAAGUAAACGAGAGGUAUUAUGCAGUUGAAAAUCAAUGUUCUAUCUCCAAUAGAAAUACCGGGAUAAAUUUCUGAAACAACAUUUAUUUCGUGUUUUACCCUUUCAAGAACAAUUCGGGGCUUUUAAAUUUUGCGAUUUUUUUAAUUAACUUGCUGCAGUUUAAUAAGGCAAGAUCCUAGUCUAAUAUAUUCACGACAAUUUAUUCGCAACGACUUAUAUUCACGUUAUUUUUCUACCCACGAAAGUCACGAAAAUAAAUCCCUCGCGAAAAUAAAUUGGCUUACAGUACUUUUCAUGUAAGUAAAAGAUUCAUAUACGUCUCAGUCAAAUAUUUAUGGAACUGCUCUUUUUAAGUUUACUAGAAAUUUGUACUACUUUUACCAAAUGGCAAAUACAUAAGAUUCACACAACA
This 5327-nucleotide long non-coding RNA is filed under the name Mytilus galloprovincialis (Mediterranean mussel). The record is from RNAcentral. Lineage: Eukaryota; Metazoa; Mollusca; Bivalvia; Mytilida; Mytilidae.